AACAAAAGCAAACCAGUUCUCCUGAAAUAUGUGGUAGUCUUGACGACUGAGGAGACGAGACAACAAUGGCUCUUCCACUUGUCUUCUGCCAUCCCCAGACAUCUUCAAGUUUCAUCACGUCCUCAUCCCAACGAAGAACACAAGUCUUCUUAAUAAGGAACACCAAUCACGAUCCUCUUCCUAACGCCAGAACCAAUCUCCAGUUGACUCCCUCCAAAUCCAAUGGAAGAUUCAUUUCCAUUUCUCCUCCAAAGUCAUCAGCUUCAGUCAAUGGAUACUCUGUCAACAGUACUAUUAGCAAUCCCGAGGAUGUUGAUUUUCCAACAACAGAGGGCAGCGAGAAACUUAGUCAGAAUCCCAGAACAGUGAUUGAGUUUAUUAAGGAUAUAUUGCCAGGUGGUAGCUGGUGGAGGCUCUCUUCCUCGGACCAUGUUGAAGUUGUCCUAACGGCAAAACCGGUGACAGUUGUGCGAGCGCUUCGGCGGAUGUGGGAUUUGAUAAGUGAAGAUCGGUGGGUCAUUUUUACUGCCUUUUCUUCCUUGAUGCUGACUGCCCUUUCACAGAUCUCAAUUCCUCAUUAUCUGACAGCUUCAAUUUUUUCUGCCCAAAGUAACAAUGUAUCGGUGUUUUCCUGGAAUGUGAAGCUUUUGAUUCUGCUAUGCAUUACAUCAGGAAUAGGCAGUGGUAUAAGAGGUUGCUGUUUUGGCAUUGCAAAUAUGAUUCUGGUCAAACGAAUGAGGGAAAGAUUAUAUUCUACUCUUCUUCUUCAGGAUAUUUCUUUCUUCGACUAUGAGACAGUUGGUGACCUAACAAGUAGGCUUGGGUCAGAUUGUCAGCAAGUCUCACGCGUAAUUGGCAAUGACCUUAAUCUUAUAUCUCGCAAUUUGCUUCAGGGGACAGGUGCAUUAAUAUACUUAGUGAUCUUAUCAUGGCCACUUGGAUUGUGUACAUUCGCUAUAUGCGCUAUGCUGUCAACCAUAAUGCUGUUAUACGGCCAGUACCAAAAGAAAGCAGCUAAAUUGAUCCAAGACUAUGGUGCUUCAGCCAAUGAAGUUGCUCAAGAGACUCUGUCUUUAAUGAGGACUGUAAGAGUGUAUGGUACUGAACAACAAGAACUUGGAAGGUACAAUAACUGGCUGGAGAAAUUAGCGGAUAUAAGUUUGAGACAGAGUGCUGCAUAUGGACUUUGGAACUUCAGCUUCAACACCCUCUACCAUUCAACACAGGUUAUUGCUGUGCUGAUCGGAGGAAUGUUUAUACUGACUGGUCGUAUAACAGCGGAGCAACUUACAAAGUUCAUAUUAUACAGUGAAUGGCUGAUUUAUUCAACAUGGUCGGUCGGAGACAGCUUGUCAUCAUUGAUGCAGUCUAUAGGAGCCAGUGAAAAGGUUUUCCAACUGAUGGAUCUUCCACCAAGUAAUCAGUUCAUAUCAACUGCAGGAUCAAAAUUGCAAAGACUGGUAGGGCAUAUUGAAUUCCUGAAUGUCACCUUUUCCUACCCUUCAAGGGCUUUGGUUCCAGUAUUGCAACAUAUAAACUUCCAAGUGCAUCCUAAUGAAGUAGUUGCAAUUGUUGGUUUAAGCGGAAGUGGUAAGAGCACUCUAGUGAAUCUGUUGCUCCGCCUUUAUGAACCAACAGGUGGCCAGAUAAUGAUUGAUGGGCACCCAAUUAAAGAUUUGAACACCAAGUGGUUAAGGGAAAGAAUCGGUUAUGUGGGACAGGAACCUCGGCUUCUCCGUACUGAUAUCAGUUCAAAUAUAAGAUAUGGAUGUCCCAGGGUGGUAAAUCAAAAGGAUGUAGAAAGGGCCGCCAAGCAAGCUUAUGCCCAUGAAUUUAUUUCAUCUUUGCCUAAUGGCUAUCAAACUCUUGUGGAUGAUGAAUUGCUCAGUGGAGGGCAAAAGCAGAGAAUUGCUAUAGCAAGGGCAAUUCUUAGGGACCCAGACAUAUUGAUCCUAGAUGAAGCCACCAGUGCACUGGAUGCUGAGAGUGAGCACAACAUUAAGGGUGUCCUUCGUGCAGUCAGAAGUGACCUAAAGACAAAGAGAACUGUCAUAGUGAUUGCACAUAGGUAAAUGCUUUCUACAAUACAGGCUGCUGACAAAAUAGUUGUCAUGGAAGGUGGUAAAAUUGUUCAGGUAGGUAGCCACUCAGAGCUACUACUGAAAGAUGGUUUGUAUUCACGAUUAACAAGAAGACAGGCCGAUGCUGUGGUACCAUCUUAGUAUUGGUCGAUGUUUGGCAGUUUCAGUGCAUUCUUUCCUAUUUCCAUUUUUUUAUUUGCUAUAGCAGAGGUUACAUCACUUUUGGGAGCCAUGGAUUACCAGUGUCAGUUCAGGAGAUUUCUCCACAGAGAAAAUGGCAAGGUUAAGCGAUUAGUUUGCUGCUGUUCAUAAUUGUCCUUUUCUUCUUUCCAAAGAAGACUAGGUUGCACUUCAGUCCGCUUAGGCCAUUUUCAAAGGAGUAAUGCAGCUCAUGGAGUUGCUGCUGCUACAUUCUACUGCGAGCUUUUUCUCAUUCCUCAAAUCAUAUGAGUAGUUCAACAACAAUCUGCUGUGAUCUGCUGCAGACCAAGCGGUAGAGCCCAAUACCUAGGCAGCUUUUGAAGUUUCUGCGACCCUAAACCAUACUUCUUGUCCACAGUUCUUGUACUUGAACUAUAUGAUCUGUUAUAACUCAAGGGCUCUUUUUCUUUUAGAGGGAACUUGAGGCAUAUGUUGGAACAUGCAUAAGCAUACUGUUGUAUGUUUUAUGGUCCUAAUCAAUUCAUUUACUACAUUCAGUUGAUACAAGAUAUUCUGCGAAGUGGAAGAA
RNA transcript from Coffea arabica (coffee), 2811 nucleotides. It is a transcript of the gene named ABC transporter B family member 26, chloroplastic, with no coding region annotated. Lineage: Eukaryota; Viridiplantae; Streptophyta; Magnoliopsida; Gentianales; Rubiaceae. The record is from RefSeq and is a predicted model, not a curated record.